GCGUCAGAUGUGUAUAAGAGACAGGUGAGUCAUCGAAUCUUUGAACGCAACUUGCGCCAUUUAUGGCAUGUUCCCUUGAGUCGGUGUAAGCCAAUGAGGCGCAUAUACAUUAUGUGUAUAUUUGUCUUGUGUUGGGGCGUACAUGGUUUAUUCUAUGUUGCCUUGAAAUGUCUGUCAUCCGUGGAGGAUUGUGAGCUAUAAGGCCUUGGCUUUAAUUUCAUAUUUCGUCUCCACGACACCACAAUCCGCUCAAGUGGAACAGGAUCACCCGCUGGACUUAAGCAUAUCAAUAAGCGGAGG
RNAcentral lists this unclassified non-coding RNA (300 nucleotides) under uncultured fungus. RNAcentral describes it as "sequence contains 5.8S rRNA gene, ITS2". Lineage: Eukaryota; Fungi. The record is from RNAcentral.